UUUACAGGAAGAGACAAAUCCAAGAGGUAUCCAAGUGUGAAAAUCCAGAGCGAAACAAAUCCCGUUAAAGAGUGAAUGGUGAGAGAUUUAUAACAGAUCAAUUUGACAGAAAACUUCACACUGUUAAUCCACCAUAGUUCAAGUUAGUUGGAUAUCGACUAACUCUGUUAAACCUGUGAAUUCGUGCCAAGUUGAGUUAGUUAUCCAGCUGGCAAAUUCUGUUAUUGUUAAUUGUUAAAAUUAGUUGUUGAUUCCAAGUUAGUUUUCUAUCAAUAAGUCUGUUAAUUAAAACUUGCUGAAGUUGAAGGUUGCUGGACCAUUUCUGUUAAAUGACCUGGAAAGUCGUGAAUUGUGAAUUUGUGUUACGUAGGAAUAGAAAUUGUAGGGCGACUUACUGUUGCUCGAGGCUCUCUUUAAUUUACGUUAUUGGAUUUAAAUUGAUGAUUGAUUUUAUUUUGGUUUUCUUGCAGGGUGUGGUUUCUGCUAGACUCUGUUAAUGGAUGCUAGUUAGUGUUAAGUUGAUGAAUUUAAAUGGUGAGCUCAAGGUUUUGCAGGUUCUUAACAUGCUUUGGUUGUUUACGCAGAAUGUUGUUGUUUGUCUUGCCGUGAGAUUUCUGCAGGGAUUGGCUUGAUCAUGUGGAGUCAGUGCAUUUGUUGCAGCAAGCUGUUGUUGCUGCUGUUUAAUAUAACGUUGCUGAUGCAGUUGCCUUUCCUUUGCCAAUCGGAUUGCAUAGGCUUGUUGUGAAUUUGUACCAUUUUUAUGGUUGCAGGAAAUGUGGUGGCAACAGGAAAUGGAUGAAUCUGUCUGGUAGCUGCUUGUCGUGCCGUGUUUUGUUGCAGUUGAUAUCGGUUUUGUUGCGGUACCGCUGCCGUUUCUGUUGCAGCUUUAUGCAUUUACAUUUUCGUGCCAUUCUGUAGCUUUUUCACAUUGCCGCUUUUGCAAUCUGUUUCGGCAGCAACUGGUGUUUGGAAGUGGCUUUGCUGCUAUGAUGUUGCGUUGCCGGCGGAUGUUGUUGGCUUAUGGAUUGCACCGUGGCUUCUAUUUCCUGCAACUUGUCGCGUCUUGGUUUUUCCGUGCCGUUUCAUGGCCUUUUGGAUGUUGGCUAUGCUUCUAUGAAAGUUUGGAUGGAGGUUAGAAGGUUUUAACCGAAUGUUGUUAAAGGAAGAAAACAGUGACGAUGUGAAGCACGUGGCAUGGCGAGGAAUCCAACAUGAAAACGAUGAACCAAGACGACUUCACAACAAUUCACGGCCCAUAACCUUCUUUUUCCUCACUUAUUCACAUGUUGUAAUAUCGUUGUAAUGCAUCUGUUGUAAUCACUGCCUCAUGUAUCUUUGGCACCCUGUGUUUUGAAUUAAGCUCUAGGUCAGUGUGUAGUAUUUGUACCAUGAAACUCAUGCUUAUGCAAUAGAAAAGGAACAUUUCUA
Long non-coding RNA from Lathyrus oleraceus (garden pea), 1428 nucleotides. RefSeq lists it as uncharacterized. The transcript is spliced from 2 exons. NCBI's taxonomy places the organism in Eukaryota, Viridiplantae, Streptophyta, Magnoliopsida, Fabales, Fabaceae. The record is from RefSeq and is a predicted model, not a curated record.